CAUCAGUUUGUUCCCUAUUUCUUCUCUAGCCUGAGCCUGACACACUAUUCUAGCUAGACAUGGGUGUGGCUCGUGACACCUGAUGACCAAACGGAUCUACGACACCGUCGAAUCUCAAACUUUAACUACUAAAACUAUUGUUUUUCAUUCUAUAGUCCCUUUUAAAUUACUAAACGUCAUUUUUUUGUUCGAGAUUUGCAGGAACGCUUUCUUGGGGUUUGUGUGCAUGUAUUUCAAAUCAUACGGACCUAAAAAUUAGAAUCCAUUCCAUCUUUAUUCCCCUAGAGCCUUCCAGCAGUUCGUUAACCGCUCCAGUCGGAGCACGUUAUCAUUAUUGUUAGUUCUGAGUGAAUUCCCUCGGUAUGAUCAUUCUUUGAUCAGUUUGUUCCUCGUUUCUUCUCUAGUCUAAGCCUAACACACUAUUCUAGCUAGACAUGGGUGUGGCUCGUAACACCCGAUGACCAAACGGAUCUACGGCACCGUCGAAUCUCAAACUUUAACUGCGAAAACUAUUGUUUUUCAUCCCGUAGUCCUUUUUAGAAUUACUAAACAUCCUUUUUUGGGACGAGAUUUCCAGGAACGCUUUCUCGGGGUUUGUGUGCGCGUGUUUCAAACCAUACGGACCUUAAAAUUAGAAUUCAUUCCAUCUUUAUUCCCCUAGAGCCUUCCAGCAGUUCCUAAACCGCUCCAGUCGGAGCACGUUAUCAUUCUUGUUAGUUCUGAGCAAAUUCCCUCGGUAUGAUCAUUCUUUCAUCAGUUUGUUCCCUGUUUCUUCUCUAGUAUGAGCCUAGCACACUAUUCUAGCUAUUAAUGGGUGUGUAUCGUGACACCUAAUGACCAAACGGAUCUACGGCACCAUCGAAUAUCAAACUUUAACUGCCAAAACUAUUGUUUUUCAUACUGUAGUCCCUUUUACAAUUAUUGAACGUCCCUUUUUGGGCCGAUAUUUCUAGGAACGCUUUCUCGGGGUUUGUGUGCAUGUAUUUCAAACCAAACGUUCCUUAAAAUUUGAAAGCAUUCCAUGUUUAUUCCCCUAGAGCCUUCCAGCAGUUCCUAAACCGCUCCAGUCGGAGCACGUUAUCAUUCUUGUCAGUUCUGAGCGAAUUCCCUCGGUAUGAUCAUUUUUUCAUCAGUUUGUUCCCUAUUUCUUCACUAGUCUGAGCCUCGCACACUAUUCUAGCUAUUAAUGGGUGUGGAUCGUAACACCUGAUGACCAAACGGAUCUACGGCACCGUCGAAUCUCAAACUUUAAUUGCCAAAACUAUUGUUUUUCAUUCUGUAGUCCCUUUUAAAUUACUAAACGUCAUUUUUUGGGCUGAGAUAUCCAACAACGCUUUCUCGGGGUUUGUGUGCAUGUAUUUCAAACCAAACGUUCCUAAAAAUUAGAAGUCAUUCCAUCUUUAUUCCCCUAGAGCCUUCCAGCAGUUCCUAAACAGCUCUAGACGGAGCACGUUAUCAUUCUUGUUAGUUCUGAGCGAAUUCCCUCGGUAUGAUCAUUCUUUCAUCAGUUUGUUCUGCAUUCUUCUCUAGUCUGAGCCUCGCACACUAUUCUAGCUAUCAAUGGGUGUGGAUCAUAACACUAAUGACCAAACGGAUCUACGACACCAUCGAAUCUCAAACUUUAACAGCCAAAACUAUUGUUUUUCAUCCUGUAGUCCCUUUUAGAAUUACUAAACGUCCUUUUUUGGGCCGAGAUUUCCAGGAACGCUUUCUCGGGGUUUGUGUGCAUGUAUUUCAAACCAUAUGGACCUAAAAAUUAGAAGUCAUUCCAUCUUUAUUCCCCUAGAGCCUUCCAGCAGUUCCUAAACUGCUCUAGUCGGAGCAUGUUAUCAUUCUUGUUAGUUCUGAGUGAAUUCCCUCGGUAUGAUCAUUCUUUCAUCAGUUUGUUCCCCAUUUCUUCGCUAGUCUGAGCCUAGCACACUAUUCUAGAUAGACAUGGGUGUGGGUCUUAACACCUGAUGACCAAACGGAUCUACGGCACCCUCGAAUCUGAAACUUUAACUGCCAAAACUAUUGUUUUUCAUCUUGUAGUCCCUUUUAGAAUUACUAAACGUCCUUUUUUGGGACGAGAUUUCCAGAAUGCUUUCUCGGGGUUUGUGUGCAUGUAUUUCAAACCAAACGUUCCUAAAAAUUAAAAGUCAUUCCAUCUUUAUUCCCCUAGAGCCUUCCAGCAGUUCCUAAACAGCUCUAGUCGGAGCAUGUUAUCAUUCUUGUUAGUUCUGAGUGAAUUCCCUCGGUAUGAUCAUUCUUUCAUCAGUUUGUUCCCCGUUUCUUCUCUAGUCUGAGCCUAGCACACUACUCUAGCUAGACAUGGGUUUGGCUCGUAACACCUGAUAACCAAACGGGUCUACGACACCAUCGAAUCUCAAACUUUUUUGGGCCGAGAUUUCCAGGAACGCUUUCUCGNNNNNNNNNNUCGCUAGCCUAAGCCUGACACACUAUUCUAGCUACACAUGGGUGUGGCUCGUGACACCUAAUGACCAAACAGAUCUACGGCACCGUCGAAUCUCAAACUUUAACUACCAAAACUAUUGUUUUUCAUUCUGUAGUCCCUUUUAAAUUACUAAACGUCAUUUUUUGGGCCGAGAUUUCUAGGAACGCUUUCUCAGGGUUUGUGUGCAUGUAUUUCAAGUCAUAUGGACCUAAAAAUUAGAAUCCAUUCCAUCUUUAUUCCCCUAGAGCCUUCCAGCAGUUCCUAAACCGCUCCAGUCGGAGCACAUUAUCAUUAUUGUUAGUUCUGAGUGAAUUCCCUCGGUAUGAUCAUUCUUUCAUCAGUUUGUUCCCCGUUUCUGCUCUAGUCUGAGCUUAACACACUAUUCUAGCUAGACAUGGGUGUGGCUCGUAACACCUGAUGACCAAACGGAUCUACGAUACCGUCGAAUCUCAAACUUUAACUACGAAAACUAUUGUUUUUCAUUCUAUAGUCCCUUUUAGAAUUACUAAACGUCCUUUUUUGGGCCGAGAUUUCCAGGAACGCUUUCUCGGGGUUUGUGUGCACGUAUUUCAAACAAUACGGACCUAAAAAUUAGAAUUCAUUCCAUCUUUAUUCCCCUAGAGCCUUCCGGCAGUUCCUAAACCGCUCAAGUCGGAGCACUUUAUCAUUCUUGUUAGUUCUCAGCGAAUUCCCUCGGUAUGAUCAUUCUUUCAUCAGUUUGUUCCCCAUUUCUUCUCUAGCCUGAGCCUAACACACUAUUCUAGCUACAAAUGGGUGUGGCUCGUCACACCCGAUGACCAAACGGAUCUACGGCACCGUUGAAUCUCAAACUUUAACUGCGAAAACUAUUGUUUUUCAUCCUGUAGUCCUUUUUAGAAUUACUAAACGUCCUUUUUUGGGACGAGAUUUCCGGGAACGCUUUCUCGAGGUUUGUGUGCGCGUAUUUCAAACCAUACGAACCUUAAAAUUAGAAUUCAUUCCAUCUUUAUUCCCCUAGAGCCUUCCAGCAGUUCCUAAACCGCUCCAGUCGGAGCACGUUAUCAUUCUUGUUAGUUCUGAGCGAAUUCCCUCGGUAUGAUCAUUCUUUCAUCAGUUUGUUCCUUGUUGCUUCUCUAGCCUGAGCCUGAUACACUAUUCUAGCUAGACAUGGGUGUGGCUCGUGACACCUGAUAACCAAACGGAUCUACAGCACCGUCGAAUCUCAAACUUUAACUACCAAAACUAUUGUUUUCAUUCUGUAGUCCCUUUUAAAUUACUAAACGUCAUUUUUUCGGCCGAGAUUUCCAGGAACGCUUUCUUGGGGUUUGUGUGCAUGUAUUUCAAAUCAUAAGGACCUAAAAAUUAGAAUCCAUUCCAUCUUUAUUUCCCUAGAGCCUUCCAGCAGUUCCUAAACCGCUCCAGUCAGAGCAUGUUAUCAUUAUUGUUAGUUCUGAGUGAAUUCCCUCGGUAUGAUCAUUAUUUCAUCAGUUUGUUCCCCGUUUCUUCUCUAGUCUGAGCCUAACACACUAUUCUAGCUAGACAUGGGUGUGGCUCGUAACACCCGAUGACCAAACGGAUCUACGGCACCGUCGAAUCUCAAACUUUAACUGCGAAAACUAUUGUUUUUCAUCCUUUAGUCCUUUUUAGAAUUACUAAACGUCCUUUUUUGGGACGAGAUUUCCAGGAACGCUUUCUCGGGGUUUGUGUGCGCGUAUUUAAAACCAUACGAACCUUAAAAUUAGAAUUCAUUCCAUCUUUAUUCCCCUAGAGCCUUCCAGUAGUUCCUAAACCGCUCCAGUCGGAGCACCUUAUCAUUCUUGUUAGUUCUGAGCAAAUUCCCUCGGUAUGAUCAUUCUUUCAUCAGUUUGAUCCCCGUUUCUUCUCUAGUCUGAGCCUAGCACACUAUUCUAGCUAUUAAUGGGUGUGGAUCGUAACACCUAAUGACCAAACGGAUCUACGUCACCAUCGAAUCUCAAACUUUAACUACCAAAACUAUUGUUUUUCAUCCUGUAGUCCCUUAAAAUUAGAAUUCAUUCCAUCUUUAUUCCCCUAGAGCCUUCCAGUAGUUCCUAAACCGCUCCAGUCGGAGCACAUUAUCAUUCUUGUUUGUUCUAAGCGAAUUCCCUCAGUAUGAUCAUUCUUUCAUCAUUUUGUUCCCGGUUUCUUCUCUAGUCUGAGUCUAGCACACUAUUCUAGCUAGACAUGGGUGUGGCUCGUAACACCUGAUGACCAAACGGAUCUACGGCAUCGUCGAAUCUCAAACUUUAAUUGCCAAAACUAUUGUUUUUCAUCCUGUAGUCUCUUUUAAAUUUACUAAACGUCCUUUUUUGGGCUGAGAUUUCCUGGAACGCUUUCGUGCGGUUUGUGUGCAAGUAUUUCAAAUCAUACGGACCUAUAAAUUAGAAGUCAUUUCAUCUUUAUUCCCCUAGAGCCUUUGAGCGGUUCCUAAACCGCUCUAGUCGGAGCAUGUUAUCAUUCUUGUUAGUUCUGAGUGAAUUCCCUCGGUAUGAUAAUUCUUUCAUCAGUUUGUUCCCCGUUUCUUCUCUAGUCUGAGCCUAGCACACUACUCUAGCUAGACAUGGGUUUGGCUCGUAACACCUGAUAACCAAACGGGUCUACGACACCAUCGAAUCUCAAACUUUUUUGGGCCGAGAUUUCCAGGAACGCUUUCUCGGGGUUUGUGUGCACGUAUUUCAAAUCAUGCGGACCUAAAAAUUAGAAGUCAUUCCAUAUUUAUUCCCCUAGAGCCUUCCAGCAGUUCCUAAAUCGCUCUAGUCCGAGCAUGUUAUCAUUCUUGUUAGUUCUGAGCGAAUUCCCUCGCUAUGAUCAUUCUUUCAUCAGUUUGUUCUGCGUUUCUUCUCUAGUCUGAGCCUAGCACACUAUUCUAGCUAUUAAUGGGUGUGGAUCGUAACACAUAAUGACCAAACGGAUCUACGGUACCUUCGAAUCUCAAACUUUAACUGCCAAAACUAUUGUUUUUCAUCCUGUAGUCCCUUUUCGAAUUAUUAAACGUCCUCUUUUGGGCCGAGAUUUCUAGGAACGCUUUCUAGGGGUUGGUGUGCAUGUAUUUCAAAUCAUACGGACCUAAAAAUUAGAAGGCAUUUCAUCUUUAUUCCCCUAGAGCCUUCCAACAGUUCCUAAGCCGCUCCAGUCGGAGCAUGUUAUCAUUCUUGUUAGUUCUGAGCGAAUUCCCUCGGUAUGAUCAUUCUUUCAUUAGUUUGUUCCCUAUUUCUUCUCUAGCCUUAGCCUGACACACUAUUCUAGCUAGAAAUGGGUGUGUCUCGUGACACCUAAUGACCAAACGGAUCUACGGCACCGUCGAAUCUCAAACUUUAACUACCAAAACUAUUAUUUUUCAUUCUGUAGUCCCUUUGAAAUUACUAAAUGUCAUUUUUUGGGCCGAGAUUUCCAGGAACGCUUUCUCGGGGUUUGUGUGCAUGUAUUUCAAGUCAUACGGACCUAAAAAUUAAAAUCCAUUCCAUCUUUAUUCCCCUAGAGCCUUCCAGCAGUUCCUAAACCGCUCCAGUCGGAGCAUGUUAUCAUUAUUGUUAGUGCUGAGUGAAUUCCCUCGGUAUGAUCAUUCUUUCAUCAGUUUGGUCCCUGUUUCUUCUCUAGUCUGAGCCUAACACACUAUUCUAGCUAGACAUGGGUGUGGCUCGUAACACCUGAUGACCAAACGGAUCUACGGCACCGUCGAAUCUCAAACUUUAACGACGAAAACUAUUGUUUUUCAUUCUAUAAUCCCUUUUAGAAUUACUAAACGUCCUUUUUUGGGACGAGAUUUCCAGGAACGCUUUCUCCGGGUUUGUGUGUGAGUAUUUCAAACAAUACGGACCUAAAAAUUUGAAUUCAUUCCAUCUUUAUUGCCCUAGAGCCUUCCAGCAGUUCCGAAACCGCUCCAGUCGGAGCACGUUAUCAUUCUUGUUAGUUCUCAGGGAAUUCCCUUGGUAUGAUCAUUCUUUCAUCAGUUUGUUCCCCGUUUCUUCUCUAGCCUGAGCCUAACACACUAUUCUAGCUACACAUGGGUGUGGCUCCUAACACCUGAUGACCAAACGGAUCUAUGGCACCGUCGAAUCUCAAACUUUAACUGCCAAAACUAUUGUUUUUCAUCCUGUAGUCCCUUGUAGAAUUACUAAACGUCCUUUUUUGGGUCUAGAUUUCGAGGAACACUUUGCCGGGGUUUGUGUGCACGUAUUUCAAACCAUACGGACCUAAAAGUUAGAAGUCAUUCAGUCUUUGUUCCCCUAGAGCCUUCCAGCAGUUCCUAAACCGCUCCAGUCGGAGCAUGUGAUCGUUCUUGUUAGUUCUGAGCGAAUUCCCUCGUUAUGAUCAUUCUUUCAUCAGUUUGUUCCCUGUUUCUUCUCUAUCCUGAGCCUGACACACUAUUCUAGCUAGACAUGGGUGUGGCUCGUGACACCUGAUGACCAAACGGAUCUACGGCACCGUCGAAUCUCAAACUUUAACUACCAAAACUAUUGUUUUUCAUUCUGUAGUCCCUUUUAAAUUACUAAACAUCAUUUUUUGGACAGAGAUUUCGAGGAAUGCUUUCUCGGGGUUUGUGUGCAUGUAUUUCAAAUCAUACGGGCCUAAAAAUUAGAAUCCAUUCCAUCUUUAUUCCCCUGGAGCCUUCCAGCAGUUCCUAAACCGCUCCAGUCGGAGCAUGUUAUCAUUAUUGUUAGUUCUGAGUGAAUUCCCUCGGUAUGAUCAUUCUUUCAUCAGUUUGCUCCCCGUUUCUUCUCUAGUCUGAGCCUAACACACUAUUCUAGCUAGACAUGGGUGUGGCUCGUAACACCUGAUGACCAAACGGAUCUACGGCACCCUCGAAUCUCAAACUUUAACUGCCAAAACUAUUGUUUUUCAUCUUGUAGUCCCUUUUAGAAUUACUAAACAUCCUUUUUUGGGCCGAGAUUUCCAGGAACGCUUUCUCGGGGUUUGUGUGCAUGUAUUUCAAACCAAACGUUCCUAAAAAUUAGAAGGCAUUCCAUCUUUAUUCCCCUAGAGCCUUCCAGAAGUUCCUAAACAGCUCUAGUCGGAGCAUGUUAUCAUUCUUGUUAUUUCUGAGUGAAUUCCCUCGGUAUGAUCAUUCUUUCAUCAGCAUCAGUUUGUUUUGCGUUUCUUCUCUAGUCUGAGCCUAGCACACUAUUCUAGCUAUUAAUGGGUGUGGAUCGUAACAC
RNAcentral lists this long non-coding RNA (7587 nucleotides) under Triticum aestivum (bread wheat). Its description in RNAcentral is "long non-coding RNA (TAES_LNC019905)". The record is from RNAcentral. Lineage: Eukaryota; Viridiplantae; Streptophyta; Magnoliopsida; Poales; Poaceae.